This 201-nucleotide ribosomal RNA is filed under the name Staphylococcus hominis. RNAcentral's name for it is "16S rRNA. Bacterial SSU". It matches the Rfam family "Bacterial small subunit ribosomal RNA", at positions 1 to 194 of the family's 1533-position model. The record is from RNAcentral. Lineage: Bacteria; Bacillati; Bacillota; Bacilli; Caryophanales; Staphylococcaceae.
UUUUUAUGGAGAGUUUGAUCCUGGCUCAGGAUGAACGCUGGCGGCGUGCCUAAUACAUGCAAGUCGAGCGAACAGACGAGGAGCUUGCUCCUUUGACGUUAGCGGCGGACGGGUGAGUAACACGUAGGUAACCUACCUAUAAGACUGGGAUAACUUCGGGAAACCGGAGCUAAUACCGGAUAAUAUUUCGAACCGCAUGGU